Amphiprion ocellaris (clown anemonefish) is the source of this 597-nucleotide long non-coding RNA. The record is from Ensembl. NCBI's taxonomy places the organism in Eukaryota, Metazoa, Chordata, Actinopteri, Pomacentridae.
CCAGAAUUGGAGCUCAUAUCUUUGGCAGUUGUAAAGUUUCUGCUCCUUCAAAGUUCACAACACAAUGAAUGAAUUCCUAAAACACUCUCAAUGCUGGAGAGCGUUUGUGAUGCUGAAGCAGUGACCAGUUUUUCUGUUUCUUCUUCUGGAGAUGCACAAUGAGGGACGUCUGCAGAGACUGAGAAAGAGUCUCACCACAUCCUGACAUGAGGAAAAAGACUUUACUGAAGACUACAAUGAGAAAAACUAUCAGACAGCAGACGGCUGCAUUCAAGGCUUACAGGAGGAGUCCUACGAGGACGAGCCGGUCCACCUGAUGGAGGCCAGUUGCUGCGGUUCAAAGCCAACACUGACUACGUGGACUUCUACUGGACCACAUGGAGGCCUUCAAACCGGACCAACAAGUUCAGCGACUCCCCGACUCGUGGGUCUGAGGACGCCGCCGAGCCUCGGCCCAGCUGGCCUCCUGUCUGUGGGUGUUUGAGUGCUGAGAGGUUUGUGGAUGCAUGUGAACGUGUCUGUGUUGAAACAGCAGCUUUGGACUCAGUAACGCCAGGAAAAACCAAGAGCUCCUUUAUUUGUGACUUCCACUAAAAA